This 72-nucleotide transfer RNA is filed under the name Erinaceus europaeus (western European hedgehog). It matches the Rfam family "tRNA". Rfam says of the family: Transfer RNA (tRNA) molecules are approximately 80 nucleotides in length. Their secondary structure includes four short double-helical elements and three loops (D, anti-codon, and T loops). The record is from Rfam by way of RNAcentral. Lineage: Eukaryota; Metazoa; Chordata; Mammalia; Eulipotyphla; Erinaceidae.
GGGAAUGUGGCUCAGUGGUAGAGUACUUGCCUUGCACAUAUGAGGUCCUAGGUUUGAACCCCAGCAUUACCC